Carya illinoinensis is the source of this 1234-nucleotide RNA transcript. It is a transcript of the gene named transcription factor IBH1-like, with no coding region annotated. The record is from RefSeq and is a predicted model, not a curated record. The transcript has 2 exons. Lineage: Eukaryota; Viridiplantae; Streptophyta; Magnoliopsida; Fagales; Juglandaceae.
AUGAAUAAAACCAUGGUUACAAAGUCUAAAUUCUCUGUGGCCGCUCAAUUUCAAUCCCCCUCUCCUACCCUUCUUCUCCCUCAAAUCUAAACCAUAUUUGCUUCCUUGCUUCCUUAUAAUUAUCUGCAUCCAAUACCUCUCUCUCUCUCUCUCUCUCUCUCAAAAGCUGAGUUUUGCCUUUUGUACUUGCAAGCAGGAGGACCCUUUGUGUCAGAAGGAAAUCCCAACUUCCAAUCUUUAAUGGUUACCUGUUUGUCUCUCUUUCAUCACAAAAGUCACUUCUGUCAGACUAAGUUGUACUAGAAUUGGGAUCCCCACCACCAUCAUAUAACCAGCUCUCAGUCUUGUUUUAGCAUUCGGUACUAGGGAUCUUCUUUGCACCCAACAUGACCCCAAAGGGUGUAUCCCUUAAUCCCAACUCCCGCAAAACUAAGUUUGCUCGUAGAUUUAUCUUUGCCCUCUCGCGAAUGAGAAACCCUAUACCAGUUUCCUCCUCCAUCGAGGAAGAAGUCCGUACACGAAGCCACAAAAUCAAGAUCGCGGCUUAUUUGUCAAUGGCGCGCGCAGUUGGGUCGAGGAGGGCUUGGAGCCGGGCCCUUCUUUUCAAGCUUCGAACCCGUGCAAGGCGCCACAAUAUGAUAAUCAGAAGGAGGUCUUUUCGCUUGAAGAAGAAAAGGAUCAUCAAGAAUGAUCCCCAAGGGGAGCCAAGCCAAACCAAAAAGCUUAGACAACUUGUACCAGGUGGGAAAACCAUGGAUAUGUGUAGCUUGUUGGAGGAGACAGCCCACUAUAUGACGUGUCUUGCCACCCAGGUUAAGGUCAUGCAGACUAUAGCCGAUCACUUCGCUAAAUGAGCAGACCAGAUAAAAAUUUUCUACAUGUAGAGGAUAAGAAGGUGGAUGGUAAGUUUUAUAUAUAUAUGGCAGCAGGCAUGUGUUGGGGUACUUCAUCAAGUUUGGAACAAGCUGUUGGAUGAUAUAUAUUUAUGCCAGUGAUACAAGAUCGAGGGAAAGUACGAGCUGGGUUCCUUUUACUUCUUUCUAAGGCUGAUCAUGAUGAUAGGAUAUUUGGAGGUAAGAAAUGUAUUAAAAUCCUCCAUCGCUACUCACAGCCAGGAUGCAUGCUUAAUAAUGCACGUAGUACUGGCUGUUUAUGAUAGCUAGCGAUUUAACACGGACAACGGAUCUAGCAAGCUAGCUAUAAACGUAUAAAUAAUUUUCUAUUUCAAACUUAA